Molecule: ribosomal RNA, 513 nt
Filed under: uncultured bacterium
Lineage: Bacteria
Description: bacterial SSU rRNA
Rfam family: Bacterial small subunit ribosomal RNA
Source: RNAcentral
GACGAACGCUGGCGGCGUGCCUAACACAUGCAAGUCGAACGGGGUUAGUGCUGGUGCUUGCACCGGUACUAACCUAGUGGCGGACGGGUGAGUAACACGUGAGUAACCUACCCUGCAGUGGGGGAUAACACACCGAAAGGUGUGCUAAUACCGCAUAACAUAGUACUUUCGCAUGGGGGUACUAUCAAAGAUUUAUCGCUGUGGGAUGGGCUCGCGGCCGAUUAGGUAGUUGGUGGGGUAAUGGCCCACCAAGCCGACGAUCGGUAGCCGGACUGAGAGGUUGGACGGCCACAUUGGGACUGAGACACGGCCCAGACUCCUACGGGAGGCAGCAGUGGGGAAUAUUGCACAAUGGGGGAAAGCCUGAUGCAGCGACGCCGCGUGAGGGAUGACGGCCUUCGGGUUGUAAAGCUCUUUCGGCCGGGAAGAAAUACGUAUGGGCUAAUACCCUGUGCGGAUGACGGUACCGGCAUAAGAAGCACCGGCUAACUAACGUGCCAGCAGCCGCGGUAA